This 376-nucleotide long non-coding RNA is filed under the name Toxoplasma gondii VEG. Lineage: Eukaryota; Apicomplexa; Conoidasida; Eucoccidiorida; Sarcocystidae. The record is from RNAcentral.
UUCAAACUGUCUCGGUGGCACCGUUUCGCAGCAGAAGUGGCGAAACACUGCGGGGCUGCAUUUCGCCCUUGCUCUCGUCAAUUUUUUUCUGGUUGUAUACAGCCCUCAGGUAGUAAUGGGUGUCGGUGUGAUUCUCACGCAGCUGCUAGUGAAGAAGUUUUCUGCAAGCUUUCGACACAAACGAAACUCUCUUACGUUUUGUUUUAUGGGCACUAGGACGUGCGGAGGAUUGGGGAGUUUGUGAUCAAGGUAUGGAGUGUUCAUGCGUUUCUGCAGCCAUCUUCAGAUUUGCCGUCGCGGUCGCUGCCUUGUCCUGUGUUAUAUUUGAAUCUCGUUGAUACACGAUACUGAGCUAAAAUCUCUCAAUAUUUUCUUC